This 23-nucleotide non-coding RNA is filed under the name Cricetulus griseus (Chinese hamster). Lineage: Eukaryota; Metazoa; Chordata; Mammalia; Rodentia; Cricetidae. The record is from RNAcentral.
AAUUCAGUGGCUGGUCUUAAAAU